RNAcentral lists this ribosomal RNA (616 nucleotides) under Lactobacillus sp. DumLac20. RNAcentral describes it as "bacterial SSU rRNA". It matches the Rfam family "Bacterial small subunit ribosomal RNA", at positions 49 to 632 of the family's 1533-position model. The record is from RNAcentral. Lineage: Bacteria; Bacillati; Bacillota; Bacilli; Lactobacillales; Lactobacillaceae.
UAAUANAUGCAAGUCGAGCGAGCGGAACCAACAGAUUUACUUCGGUAAUGACGUUGGGAAAGCGAGCGGCGGAUGGGUGAGUAACACGUGGGGAACCUGCCCCUAAGUCUGGGAUACCAUUUGGAAACAGGUGCUAAUACCGGAUAAUAAAGCAGAUCGCAUGAUCAGCUUUUGAAAGGCGGCGUAAGCUGUCGCUAAGGGAUGGCCCCGCGGUGCAUUAGCUAGUUGGUAAGGUAACGGCUUACCAAGGCGACGAUGCAUAGCCGAGUUGAGAGACUGAUCGGCCACAUUGGGACUGAGACACGGCCCAAACUCCUACGGGAGGCAGCAGUAGGGAAUCUUCCACAAUGGACGCAAGUCUGAUGGAGCAACGCCGCGUGAGUGAAGAAGGUUUUCGGAUCGUAAAGCUCUGUUGUUGGUGAAGAAGGAUAGAGGUAGUAACUGGCCUUUAUUUGACGGUAAUCAACCAGAAAGUCACGGCUAACUACGUGCCAGCAGCCGCGGUAAUACGUAGGUGGCAAGCGUUGUCCGGAUUUAUUGGGCGUAAAGCGAGCGCAGGCGGAAAAAUAAGUCUAAUGUGAAAGCCCUCGGCUUAACCGAGGAACUGCAUCGGAAA